CCUACGGGAGGCAGCAGUGAGGAAUAUUGGUCAAUGGGCUUACGCCUGAACCAGCCAAGUCGCGUGAGGGAAGACUGCCCUAUGGGUUGUAAACCUCUUUUGUCAGGGAGCAAUUGGCGCUACGUGUAGCGUUAUCGAGAGUACCUGAAGAAAAAGCAUCGCCUACUCCGUGCCAGCAGCCGCGGUAAUACGGAGGAUGCGAGCGUUAUCCGGAUUUAUUGGGUUUAAAGGGGGCGUGGGGGGAAUGUCAAGUCAUCGGUAAAAUUUCGGGGCUCAACCUCGCCCUGCCGUUGAAACUGGCGUUCUUGAGUGGGGUAGAGGUAUGCGGAAUGCGUGGUGUAGCGGUGAAAUGCAUAGAUAUCACGAAGAACUCCGAUUGCGAAGGCAGCAUACCGGCGCCCAACUGACGCUGAAGCACGAAAGCGUGGGUAUCGAACAGGAUUAGAUACCCGAGUAGUC
Molecule: ribosomal RNA, 459 nt
Filed under: uncultured bacterium
Lineage: Bacteria
Description: partial 16S ribosomal RNA
Rfam family: Bacterial small subunit ribosomal RNA
Source: RNAcentral